Molecule: ribosomal RNA, 465 nt
Filed under: uncultured Klebsiella sp.
Lineage: Bacteria; Pseudomonadati; Pseudomonadota; Gammaproteobacteria; Enterobacterales; Enterobacteriaceae
Description: bacterial SSU rRNA
Rfam family: Bacterial small subunit ribosomal RNA
Source: RNAcentral
CCUACGGGCGGCUGCAGUGGGGAAUAUUGCACAAUGGGCGCAAGCCUGAUGCAGCCAUGCCGCGUGUGUGAAGAAGGCCUUCGGGUUGUAAAGCACUUUCAGCGGGGAGGAAGGCGGUGAGGUUAAUAACCUCAUCGAUUGACGUUACCCGCAGAAGAAGCACCGGCUAACUCCGUGCCAGCAGCCGCGGUAAUACGGAGGGUGCAAGCGUUAAUCGGAAUUACUGGGCGUAAAGCGCACGCAGGCGGUCUGUCAAGUCGGAUGUGAAAUCCCCGGGCUCAACCUGGGAACUGCAUUCGAAACUGGCAGGCUAGAGUCUUGUAGAGGGGGGUAGAAUUCCAGGUGUAGCGGCGAAAUGCGUAGAGAUCUGGAGGAAUACCGGUGGCGAAGGCGGCCCCCUGGACAAAGACUGACGCUCAGGUGCGAAAGCGUGGGGAGCAAACAGGAUUAGAUACCCUAGUAGUC